Molecule: long non-coding RNA, 17303 nt
Filed under: Medicago truncatula (barrel medic)
Lineage: Eukaryota; Viridiplantae; Streptophyta; Magnoliopsida; Fabales; Fabaceae
Description: long non-coding RNA (MTRU_LNC008048)
Rfam family: MIR2593 microRNA precursor family (bases 912-1024)
Source: RNAcentral
CAUUCAAAUCCUCAAUAACCUUAGACCCUUAUGAUAUUCUUAGUAAUUGGUCAAUUUCCUCUUCUACUUCUUCUUUGUCUUCAUGCAAUUGGGUUGGUGUUACUUGUGAUGAACACCAUGGAAGAGUAAAUGCAUUGAAUCUUAGUAGCAUGGGCCUUGAAGGUACAAUUUCUCCUCAAUUGGGAAAUCUUUCUUUCCUUAUUGUUCUUGAUUUACAGGGCAAUAGUUUCCAUGGUGAGUUACCACAUGAGUUGCUUCAGUUGAAAAGAUUGAAAUUGUUGAAUUUAAGCAACAAUGAUUUUGUUGGAGAAAUUCCUUCAAGGAUAGGGGAGUUAUCAAAACUUCAACAAUUGGAUAUUAGCUAUAAUAAUAUUGUUGGAGUUAUUCCUCAAUCUAUAUUCAACUUGUCAAUGUUAGAAUAUCUACGUUUGACAUCAAAGGAACCAUUCCACAUGCAAUUGGUCAACUUCGUCAGUUGAGGUAUUUGAGUAUUGGUAAUAACAGGUUGCUGUCUGGAAUGAUACCAACAACAAUUUGCAACAUGUCUUCACUUGAAGUAAUUUAUUUAGCAAAUAACUCCUUAUCAGGUAUGAUAUACUCACACCAUUACAUGAUAACAUGCAUGAUUGAGUUUUUUUAACUUUAUUUAUUACACGUGUGUGGAUACUUUGCAUUGUGCAGCAAACCACAAAGUCGUUGAUCUAAGUGAGACAAAUUCCAAUUUUAUUUUUCUCAUUUCGAUCUAACGGCUGUGUAAGUGCGUGCAGUGUAGGUGUCAUAGGGAAAUUUAAUUCAAUUUUACACACUUAUUAAGCCUUCUUUAGACCCUUGAAUAUAAAUUAAAUACAUUAGUUUUAUUUAUUUUGAAGAAAUUCUUUAAUUAAUUAAUCUUGUAAUCCCUCCGUUUUUUAAUAUAAGCAAAAUUGACUUUUUAGGUUCAUUCAUUUAAUGAUGUAUAUGGUUCAUAAUAUGGACCACAUACAUCAUUAAAUGAAUGAAUCUAAAAAGUAAAUUUUGCUUAUAUUUUUUUUUUGCACAAGCUAAAAUGAAAUAUAUUAAAAAUGCGCAUGAAACAAUUUUGCUUAUAUUUAAAUACGAAAGUAUAAAUGAAUGUGCAUUACAUGCCAGCUAAUAUAUGAAUCAUUUUAAUUAAUGUCUUUCCCCUCUCUCUAUACAUGUAUUGAACUAAAGGAGAAAUUCCCAAAGAAAUUGGUGAUCUUUCACAAUUGAAAAUGGUCAACCUUCAAGAUAAUUUCCUCGUAGGCAACAUAUUAAUGUUCAACAACACAUCAUUGCAAUACUUAUAUCUUGGAUAUAAUAAUAUGACCGGCAUUCUUCCAUCAAAUGUUUGUCAAGAGCUUCCAAACCUUAGAUCACUCUAUCUUCUUCAUAAUGAUUUUUAUGGUGCAAUGCCAAAUGUUUGGCAUGAUUGCAAAGAGUUGGAAGAUUUAGAAUUGUCCUUAAAUAAUUUUGACAAAGGACGUAUUCCGGCUGACAUUGGAAAAUUGGCCAAACUUCAAUUUCUGUAUCUUGCAGAUAACAACUUGGAGGGUAAGAUAUUUUUGCCAAUAUAUUAAGUGUUUAUUUAUUUUUAUUUAAUUCUUUUAAAUAUUAAGUUUUUAUUUAUUGUUUCUUUAAAGUUACUACAUUGCCUAAAAAUGUUACCACCUCUUUCAAUAAUUAUAAGUUAUUUUUGAAAAAUAAAUGCCCACAAAAAUAAGUUUAGCUUACGUAGCUUUUGACUUCCCCACUCCGUCUUUGACUUCCUAUAAAAAAACAAAAAAAACUGCAACCUGGGUGCAAAAGGGAUAGCACUUGGGUGAUAUUGUGGUUGGUGACAUUAGACAACCACAAUGAUGUUUUUUUUUGUACAUUUGUGACAUUGUGGUUGGCCAAUGUCACCAAUAUCACCAACUACAUGUCACUAAAGUGCUACUCGUACAAAAGUGCAUUCAUGUUUGUACAAAUGUACGUAUGAGAGAGAUAUGUCCAAAAAUAAGAGAGAGAUUUAAAAUAUAAUAUGUAUAUAAAAGAGAGUUGUCCAAAAAUUAUCACAAAAUGAUUGUACAAAUAUCAUUUCUCAUUUUUUCCCUCACUUAUUUAUUCUCACAUUAUAUGCAUUCAUGCUAAGUUCGAUUUGCUUAUAAAGCUUGAGUAUAUAAAUGAGUCCCAAAUGUUUUAAUGUCACAACUUUUAGUUUCCACUUUUAAUUAAGUAAACUAAUGUGCAUCAUUCAAAAUUUUAAAUUACUUUUCACAUUCAUGUUUUGUACCUCUAAUAGGGUUCUAGAUUAACCACUAUAUGUUACUCCCUCCGUCCCGCAAUAAAUUACCUGUUUGAAAAUGUACAAUUUUGACAUAACUUAUUUUGAUCAUAUUUUUCUACUAAUAUAUAAAGAUAAAUAAUAUCAUAUAAGAUGUCGUUAGAUUCGUCUCGAUGAGUAUUUUCAAAAUAUCAAAUUUUCAUAAUUUUUUCCAAUAUAUUAUUCAAGAUAUUUAAACUCAAAAUUACGCAUUGGUAUGCGUAAUUGAAUCAACUGUGUCACUUAUUAAGGGACGGAGGGAGUAUAAUAUAAAAUCCAACGAAAUUAAUAAGAUCUAUUUAUUGAAAAUUGUGGUGUUGAAUGAUGAAAUAUUGUUUCUACCUAAAAGGAGUAGAAACAAUCUGAAAUAGAGGUGCCGCCUCUAAGACUAGCACCGACUUCAUCUUCUUUUGCUGUAGUCUUCUCUUCAUGUUGAUCUUGUCUUUAGGAAUAUAAGUUUCCUGGUAUUAUUCAAUGAAUGAUUAAUAACAUAACAAGUUGAGCAAAAAAGUGGGAGUUUUUCAUAUUCAACAUCCGCAUUAAACACAGCCAUCUUUUUCUUGGUAAAACUGGACUAAACCACACCAAGCCUUGUGUGUCAAAAAUAGUAGUAGUAGGUAGAUUGCAUAUUCAACGAUUCCUCGCUAUUACUUUUCUUUUCUUUGGUUAAAAAAAACAUAAGCUUAAAUGCAAUUUUGAUCCUCUAUUUUUAAAUUUAUUAAGUUUUGAUACCCUUUUUUCUUUUGAUCCCCUAGUUAAAAAGUCAAAGCAAUUUUCUGAACCCCUCCCAUUUAAGUGAUGUGGUGCUGAGGUGGUAGUAGUGAGUUGAACAUAUAUCUGAUAUGUUUAAUUCAUGUUACCAGAAUAAUUGUACCUCUCAUGAUACGAUGCUUUUAUGAACUCUGUUUAAUUCUGGUGUACUUAAAAGCCUUCUGAGCUUGAAGAAUAUCUUAUUUUUCAAGAAAACUGUGUUUUAUACAAAAAUCCAGUUCAGGGUAGCUCGCUCAACGAGUUUCUGCCCGCUUAGCGAGGCUGACAAUUCAAAACAGGACUACAUAGCUCGAUUAACGAGUCAUCCCCUCGCUUAGCGAGGAUGACAGACAACACAAAAGCUGUCAGGCUCGCUUAGCCACCAAGAUAGAACAUCAAAAAUUGUGAAAAAUCGGUUUUCAACCAUGUCAUCACUCACUACCCACGCUUCUAAAUCAUAUUCUUGUAAGUUGUUUUAUAAUCCAAAGGUGGGGUGUCUAUCUAAAGGAACCCACCAUGACAUUCUAGAUUCUCUAAACAGCUUCUGCUACAGCUUAAGCUCCUGCCUCUCUGAAACUUAUUGAUUCUGCCUUCAGCUUUUAUCUCAAGCAACAACUUACCUAUAACCUUAUCACUUUUUCUAUUACUAUCAUUCCUCAUAAUCACUUUUCUGACAGUUUUUCCAAAACAACUUAUUUACAGCUUAUUGGUUUUGCCUCUAGCUUUUGCACUCCAACAACUUAUUCAAUCCCUCAAAAACAACUUAAGCUUCAAUUUUUAGCUUAUGCCUCAACUUCCAUGCCGUUUUCCAGCAUCAAUAAUAUCCAACUUCAAAAGUGUUUUUAGAAUUCAUUUCUAAUCCAAUACAACCCGUAACGUAAGAGCAAGGAGAAAACCAAAAUCUCAUGCGGCAACUUUUGCAAACAGAACCAAUUCCAAACAGCUUCAGCUCAAGUAAUUAAACACCAAAGCUUUAACGCACAUGCAGCAACCAUGAGGGCUCAUACUUAUAAUUUUCCCUAUAGACAGAAGUUGAAAGAGUGCUCAGCUGAGAGGAAGUAAAAGUAAGAUUGAACCAUUUUGUCUGAUACACUUUGAGCUAAGCUUCUUGUUUGCACUCAUACUUUGAAUACUUUUAUCUAUUUCUAAAACUUUCCUUCAUUGCCCGCCCGCCCGCGUAACUUUUUCUUAUCCUUCUCUCACCACACCCUCUUCCAAUAAAUUCUUACCUCCGGAAUUUUGGGUUUAAUUUCUCCUUUUCGAAUUUCUUCAAAAUAUUAAAUAAAUAAAAAAACUCAUUUAAAAUCAGAGCUUGUUCAAAAUCACAAAUCUAAAUUUCAACACUUCAUUCUAUCGUUAUGCUUGCCAUCUGAAUGUUUUUUAUUUUACUUGAGCUGGGUUUGAUGGUUUCUUCUUUGCAUCUUCAAGCAUUUUUUAGGAUAAACCAUCCAUUAUUUUUUAAAAGUUUGGUACAAAACGUUAUUGUCAUUGAAAAAGUUAGCUCAUCACACCACGUUAUAUUGAGUUUAAUAAAAAAAAUUAAAAAGUUUUAAAAUUUAUUCUGUAAUUAAUAUUACAUAUAUAUUAUCACUCUUAAUAAAAUAUUUUAGACCAUAAAUAAUGAAUACGCCGCCAUCCACUACUUAAUAAUUUAAAUAUUGCAAAAGUAUUAUUUAUUCAAAUAUAAUAUAUAUUCGACGAAUAGUUUGACCAACUCUUCAGCCAAAAGUUAUUAUGCAUAAGUCAUUUCCUUAUGCACCCUGCAUAAACACUUCACAACCAUCAAAUUUAUUGUACACGUGUAAUAAUCCUAGGUCUCUCAGCUCACACUCUCACAACCAUCAGAUUUGCUCCGACGUGACUCACCCUACACUUUCACAACCAUCAUAUUUGCUCCGACGUGACUCACCCUCGCUCGCCGCUCCAACGUGAUUUCACCGGCGAGGUUGCACGUAUUUCACUUGCUCGCAUGUGAAAGCAUGCAGGUGUUGUCGGUACCUCUAACAACGACAAUGCAAGUGUAUCCAGAUGAGAAAGCUUCCGCUUGAGGGAGAGCAUAUGCCGAUGAAUUGAUGACUCACAUUUGAAGGAGAGAUUUGUGGUAGAUGUGACUUAUAAGUUGCACAUUGAUAAAAAAAAAAAAAAGUAGAUGUUGCACACUUUAUAAGUGAGAGAACCUAUAUAUCUAAGACUCUAAAAUUUUGGGUUAUAGUAUGGUGUCCGAAUCAUUUGUGUGGUUGCUUUUGGCGCAAUAUAGAUAAUCUCCUAAACUUCCCUCUUCAUUAACAUUUUAAUACUUUUAUAUUUUAUAUAAAUAUAUAUUAUAAUAAUUAUUAAUGGUAUAAAAAUUUUGCACACAUAACCCAAAGUCCUGGAUCCAGCAAUGCACUGUUAUAAUAUCUAAUCCAACGAAACUAACAUGUUCUAUUUUAGUUUUUAUUAAGAUUAUGACUUGUUACGAUUGUGUUGUACUGGUAUUGAGUGAUAAAAUAUUGUUUCUAGUGUAUUAUGCGAUGUGUACAUAAAAUUUUAAGAAAAAUGGACUAUUGUUGAAAAUUGGUUCAUACGGUGUAAACAUUUUUAAAGAUAAAAGAUUAAUUUGAAACCAAAAAAGAAAAAGAAAAAAACUCUCAAACUUGAAACUUAUAGUCGAUUAUCAUCGAAGUAUUUCGUGAAUCACACUUUAAAUUUUUAUGUUAAAUACAGGUGAAAUUCCAUUAUCCCUCUUCAACAUCUCUUCUUUGAGAGAGAUCAGCCUUACUAAGAACAAUUUAAAUGGAAGUCUCCCAGACGAGAUGUGUCUUCAACUUCCUCAACUUUAAUUAUUUUCUCUAAAAAGUAAUCAUUUUGAAGGAUUCAUUCCACCAUCGAUUGGAAACUGUACAUCAUUACAAACGUUACAUUUACAGAAUAACUUUUUUACAGGUAUACCGUACACCCUUAACUUUCUAUCUACAUGUUAUACUUUUAGUUAAGUUUUUAAAAUUUCUGUAUUAUUAGUAUUUGUUUUUACACCAAGCUUCAUCAUCUUACACAUGCGACUUUGUUGUUUCUUUAUGAUAUUUGAUUUUAGGUUCGAUACCAAUGGAGAUUGGCCAUCUCAGUCAACUUCAACUUCUACUAAUGGGAAAUAACAGCUUGAGUGGACCUAUUCCUUCAAAAGUCUUCAACAUUUCAACAUUGGAAAUUUUGUAUCUUGAUCAAAAUUCUCUCUCAGGCAUGCUUCCAUCAAAUUUGGGAUUUGGACUUCCUAACCUACAACAACUAGACAUUUUAGCAAACAGAUUUGUUGGAAGAAUUCCAAAUAGUAUAUCCAAUGCUUCAAAUCACGUUCGAGCUGAAUUUGGUGCUAAUGAAUUUAGUGGAAUUAUGCCUAAUUCUUUUGGAGAUUUAAGAGUCCUAGAAUUUCUCGGCAUAGGUGGCAAUAAUUUGACAUUAAUUGAUGAAUCUCUUGAAAUAAACUUCCUUACUUCACUUGCAAGUUGCAAAUAUCUAAAAUAUCUUGUAUUAUCAGGGAAUAGCUUACUAUCAAAACUUCCCAAGUCCAUUACAAACUUAUCUGUAGAACACUUUUUGGCAGAUUCUUGUGGAAUUAAUGGAAAUAUUCCUGUAGAAAUCGGAAACAUAAGCAACUUGAUUCAAUUAUCUCUGAGAAGCAAUAGUUUAAAUGGAGCAAUCCCUAGUACAAUUAAAGGGUUACAUAAACUUCAAUCUUUGAAUCUUGGCUACAAUGGGCUGCAAGGAUCCAUGAUUGAUGAGCUUUGUGAAAUUAGGAGUUUGAGUGAGUUGGGUUUGACAAGCAAUAAGCUUUUUGGAGUGUUACCAACAUGUUUGGGAAAUAUGACUUCUCUUAGAAAGUUUCACAUAGGAUCUAAUAGGUUAACCUCUGAGAUACCUUCUUCCUUUUGGAAUCUCGAAGAUAUUUUAGAGGUAGACCUAUCUUCUAAUGCUUUAAUUGCAAAUCUUCCACCUGAGAUUAAGAAUUUGAGAGUUCUUGUACUAUUAGACUUGUCAAGAAAUCAAAUUUCAAGAAACAUUCCAACAGCCAUAAGUUUAUUGAACACUUUAGAAACUCUCUCCUUGGCAGCUAACAAAUUGAGUGGGCCUAUCCCAACAUCACUUGGUGAAAUGUUAAGCUUGAGUUUCUUGGACUUGUCUCAAAAUCUUCUUACUGGUGCGAUCCCAAAAUCCUUAGAGUCACUUUCUUAUCUUAAAUACAUUAACUUUUCAUACAAUAGAUUGCAAGGAGAGAUUCCUAAUGGAGGACCUUUCAAAAAAUUCACAUCUCAAUCUUUCAUGCAUAAUGAAGCACUUUGUGGCAGUUCUCACUUACAAGUACCUCCAUGUGAUAAACAUAGGAAAAAGUCAAAGAUGUUAUUAAUCAUAUUGAUAUCAUCCAUAAUUGUUGUGCUAUGUAUUUUGGUUGUUGCAUGCAUAAUACUUCGAAUGCAUAAAAGGAGAAAGGGUAAAAAUUCACUUGAAAGGGGUUUACACACUAUAGGAGUUCCAAAAAGGAUUUCCUAUUAUGAACUAGUGCAAGCAACUAAUGGAUUCAGUGAGAGUAAUUUACUUGGAAGGGGUGGCUUUGGAUCCGUGUAUCAAGGAAUGCUUUCUAGUGGGAAGAUGAUAGCAAUUAAAGUACUUGACUUGACAAUGGCAGAAGCAUCAAGAAGCUUUGAUGCAGAAUGCAAUGCAAUGCGCAACCUUCGACAUAGAAAUCUAGUUCAAAUUAUGAGUAGUUGUUCAAAUCCUGAUUUCAAAUCUCUAGUGAUGGAGUUUAUGUCAAAUGGAAGUGUGGAAAGAUGGUUAUACUCUGAUAACUAUUUUUUGGAUUUCUUGCAAAGGUUGAACAUAAUGAUAGAUGUGGCAUCAGCAUUGGAGUAUCUCCAUCAUGGUUCUUUAAUACCAGUGGUUCAUUGUGACUUGAAGCCUGCUAAUGUGUUAUUGGAUGAAAAUAUGAUUGCACAUGUUAGUGAUUUUGGGAUUUCCAAGCUCUUGGAUGAAGGACAAUCAAAAACUCAUACAGGUUAUAACUUCUUCACUUCUAAGUCAUAUUAUAUCUUAUCAAUUUGAGUUUGUCAGGUCAACUCAGUUGAGAAAAUAAUAACUAAUACAUAUUUUUAUUUAUAAAAAAUUAAAGAUUUUGAUUAAGAAGGGACCAAAUGGAUUGAUAUGGUAUACUGUGUUGUUAUUAUGAAUGAAACAGUAUUUUUUUUUUUUUAAAACAAAAACUAAAACAAUUAUUUUGUAAGAAUAAAAACAAUAACAAAUUUUGAUCAUGAAAACAAGAGAUAGCAAAACUGGUUGAACUUAUUAGGUUGGCAAGUUUUAACCUCACAUUUUAGACGUUUUUUAGGCCAAUUGGUCUAACCAUGAAGACAUCUAUAUUUUGUUUUGUUUUGUUAUUGAUUGGCUAUCAUAACACAAGUAUCAUUGAGAAUAUUUUUAUAACUAGUGAUUAAUGUUCAUAUACAGAGUAUGGAUCUAGCGGAAUCAUUUCAGUUAAAGGAGAUGUGUACAGCUAUGGGAUAAUGCUAAUGGAAAUGUUCACCGGAAAGAUGCCAACAAAUGAAAUGUUUUCAGAAGAAUUAACCUUGAAAACUUGGAUUACUGAAUCAAUGGCGAAUUCCAGUAUGGAAGUUGUGGAUUACAAUUUAGGCUCACAACAUGAGAAAGAAAUUCAUGAUAUCUUAGCUUUAGCAUUGAGAUGUUGUGAAGAUUCACCUGAGGCUCGGAUUAAUAUGACAGAUGUAACUACCUUAUUAAUCAACAUCAAGACUUCACUCAUCCGAUGAAAAAGGAGAUCAAGAAAUAAAAUUUAGUAGUAAGUUAUUAUAUGCUUUUGAAACAUCCCCCUGUUCCUUUAUUCCAAAUGUUGUUUGAAUCUUUUUUUUUUUUCUUUUUUUUUUAAAAGAUCGAUGUUUUGUUUGAAUCUAGAUGGAAUAUAAAACAUUGUUUAAUCGGAAAUUAUAUGUAAUUGGUGCGACCUGACGCUCCUGUUAUGGUAGCAUCUAUUGAAGUUGUACUUCUGUGUAGUUCUAUGCCAUUUUAGAUGCAAAAAUUUCUCCAUUUCCAUUCUAAAAUACUUGCAAUUGCAUCUUAAUAAUAAUACAAAGCAUUACAUACAACUUCAGGAAUCUCAAUUGAAGCAGUCACUAAGAAGAACUGCGAUUAGUUACUUCUUAAACGCAUCUGCGUGGAAACCACAUGUAUCUCCUAACUGUGAAUUUGUUGUGUAUAAGUUGUUGGGGGAGUUCAGCACGCAUCUAAAGCAACAGUCAGCUAAAUGAUCAAAGCUCCAGAAGCCUUAACUUUAUUAACUUACUCACUUUAAAAAAGCCAAAUUUCUAAGUCAUAAAAUAUUUACUUGGACUGUAAAAAAUACAUUUACUUGGAAUUCACUUAUUAGCCAAUUUCAUAUAUUGAUAUUUGACGCUUUAUUUUGAAAUGAUAUUCAAUUCCAUAUCGAUUUCAUUACUUGUUCGGAUCCAAUGUUGAAACUUCUGGAUACAAAAGUUGUACACACAAAUAGUAGAAUCACAAUUUUAGCCAUUUGCAGCCCAACAUGAAAUAAAUGUCAUUAUAUCCACCAGAUAUUUUCCCCCCAAAAUGAAUAUGAAUGUCAUGUCAAAAAACAUAAAUGGAUUAACAACCAACAGAAAAAGGAAAGCUGCAAAUGAAAAUGGAAGUAAGCUGAGUUUUGGGGAAAUUUUGAAGGAAAAAGAAAUAUUCCUAAGUUUAUAACUUGACUUAAAUUUUUGACAUUGAUUAACAACUCUCAUAAAAGGAACAACUAAAAAGGGACGGAUGUAGACUAGACACUGCAGUUGUAACAAAGUGAGUAUUUUUUUGUUUCUAAAAAGACUAUCAUCAAAACUCACACACAUUAAGUGUUGAAAAUCACAAGUUCAAACUCGUGUUUGAGCAUAUCAAAUGUCCCUACAACCGACAAAGUAAGGCUUCUUUAUUUGUACGAAAAAUGUUAAUGCUAAUAUAUAUUAGUAUACCCCUAACAAGAUUUCAGAAUAGAAUAAAAUUUGAUAAUUAAGACAAAAACUCUAGUGAAAGUUGCCGGUGAAAGACCAAGCAUGAGCUACUCUCGAAACAAGAAAGCAAGUAAAUAUAAACAAGGUUAACAAUAAUGCAAUAAAAUAAUAAAUGAUUCAAUGACUUGUUUCUUCAUUUUUUUUUUCUUUGCUCCUUUUAGUGGACACAUUUGACUAAAUAAAUUCCUAUCAAAAUGUAACAAUACACAUUUUUUUUUUCAUUACCGCAAGCACUGUUUAAAAUUCUGAUUAUGACAGUUACCAUAAAGUCACAAACAUCUAGCAACACACUAACAAAUUCAAGUUUUCCUUUUUUUUUAACAUUGUUCAAUUAUAUAUAGAUAGAAAUUUAAUUUAACGCUUCACUUGAAAUUUCAAAUCUGUGGAUAAGGAUCCAGCAGUUCAUGUUCCACCAAAAAUGAUGCCGAUCCAACACCAGCAAGUAUUCCAAAUGCCGAUGCUUGUUUCCAACUGGAUCCGUAUCUGUCUAAUAAUAAGUAAAUCAAAAUGGUAACAUAUUCAAAAAAAAAAAAUUGAAUCAAUCAAGUGCUUAAUUGAAUUGGUUUAUGGAAUUGUGAAGUACCACAUAUGCAAGAUCUAGACAAUGGCAGCAAGAGUUUUCACCACAUAGUAUGCCUAGAAGAAUUGUGCAGACCUGCUUGCUAUAUGCCAAUAUGGCUGCAUAAUAUAUACGACAUUAUUUUAAUUUAAUUAGUAUGUAGACAUUGCCAUCUAGUUUAAUGAAAACAUUACCAUCUAUGAAACAUGAACAUUUAGAAUAUAAAGGCCCGGUCCGUGUUGCACAUGUGUCUCGAUCAAUUAUGUUUUUAGAUAAGCAAAGUUAAUGAAGGGUACAUUUGAGGUAGUUCCAAAUUAAAUCAAGUCAAAUGAGGCAAACGUGAGGGAAGUGACUGAUGACAGUCAGUCAUUCACUUUUUAGAGUUUUUUUAUGAUAUUUUUGAGUUCACAAGCAAGAUUAAGCAGCAAGAAAAACUGAAGAAGCUGAAAAAGGGGAUCGUGUCACGAUUACUGAAAAACGUGACACGGUUUGGAGCUUCAAGAAAUAUGCAUUCGGCAUUGGUGAAAACGUAGCACGAUUAUGGAAACCCUAAUUUUGGUUGUUUGUUACACAAGGAAGAAACGUGUCACAAUUUACUUAAAUCGUGCCACGAUUUUAGGAGCAGUUCUUGCCUAUUUAAGCUGAAGACUAUUCUGAAAACAAGGGUUACGAUUUGGAGAGAGCAAAGUGCGAUUCGAGAUCUAAAGACGGUUAGGAGGGCGAUUUCUUCAACCUUCUAUCAAUUCAUGUAUGUUUUGAUUCCAGUAUUGAUUAUGCUAUUUGUAAACUCAAAUAUGAGUAGCUAAAUCUCUUAGAGAUUAGGUCUGAGAUGAUUCUUUGUAACCCUUAUUGAACCAUGUUGUUGUGAAACUCUAUUUAUUGUGAAUGACAAUCUAGUUUUUAUUCAAUUCAAUUGUUCUUAAUGCUUUUUAUAUCCUGAUCAAAUAUAAACAUAAUUUAGUGAGAAUGAAUGACUACUGACCAUAGCUUUCUACUUAGACAGAAUUGAAUUGUUCUAAUAAUCAUGGUUAGUAUAGGAAUGGAUAAUCCUUUAUUAGUGAUAUUAGGUUAACGUUCUUAAAACCUUCAAAGAUUAUUAGACCACCUAAGGAAUUAGGGGCUGUAGUUUGAGAAGAGGGUCCUAACUCAAGGGAUUGAUUAGGACUAUUUUGUUAACUAUCGUGGAACUAGAAAAUCAUUCAUAUGAAUAGGUGCAGUAUACCAAUUAGGGGAACAUAGAUAAUUUGAAAGACCUGAUCUCAUCUCUCUUCAUAUUUUCUAACCAAAUCUUUAUUUUAUGUUAUUUAAUUUUAUGCAAUCAAAUAAAAUCUAAACAAAAUAAUUUAUACAUCCUGAAUAUUUACUUUAUUUCUAAAUUGAGAUUAACACAGUCCUUGUGAGAACGAUAUUUUUAUUACUUCGAUACGUUUUUACUAAAAUAUCUAUCAGUGACAAUGUGAUAUGCUUACAGCAGCAGUAGAUGAACUUUGAGAUGUAACCUGUUUGUAUUGAAAUGUUUAGCAGUUAGCAUAACAUGGACUCUGAAAAGUUGCUAAUAGUUUUAUAUAAUAUCAAUUUGGAUUGAAACACUGUCUCCUUACCAUAGAAUUUGUUUUACUAAGAAAAAUAGCAAAUUUUAUUACCUUAACGAACAACCAAUAAAGGGAAUCACACUCUUCUUUGAAGGAUGUUAUUUAACAAGAAACUUCCAAUCUGUCAAACCAGCAUAGGCAUAUCUUGGUUUGUGAUACCAGUAAAGUUGAAAAGAACUUGGUUGCAGCUGCGAAGUUGUCUAAAGAGGAAAAACUAACAGAGAAGGCAUCUUUGGAGGGACAUAUUCUUUGUGUGUCCUAAAGCUACAAGAUGUUGGGAAUUCGUGAAGUUGGAAUUGUCAAUGACCUGCAAAUGAUCUUAACUCUUUGCUUUUCAAUAUUUUUGACAGAUUAUCCUCACAUCAGGAAGUGUCGCCAUUGUGAGCUAUGGGAGAAGGCCCUUAAAUACUAGGUGGGACCUUAACUCUUCACUCUUGCAUUACGCUUCAGUAAUGCGCCUAAGUGCUGCAGCAUUUCUGCAGGCUUAAACAAUAAAUUACUUCUUGCAUAAAUUCAACAUAACAUAACUUAAAUCAUUCUAAUCUAUUAAAAAGGACUUCUAAACCUAGUUAAGUAAAUUAAUCUAAAACUACUCAAGUAAAAGACUUUAUCAACUUGCAUAAAUAGGAUAAAAUAAGGUGAAGUAACUCAAAUUUAUAAGAGUUUAAAAUAGUCGAUAGCAAAUCAGCACAACCGACAACCAAGAAUCAACAACAAAACAGUGCUAGUAAAAUUGACAAGCCAACACUAGCAGAUGUUUAUCGACCUCUAGCGACAGCGCUAAAAAUUACUAACUUAGGAAUAGUAAUUUCCAUGAAUGUGGCUUUGCACGUCAGUUAGUUAGUUACCUAGUUCUCUUUCUCUGUCUCAGGAUCUAAGUAUGCUUCCAAUAUUUUAACUUUCUUUAAGUUCCCUGCAACUUACAUUUUGUGAUAAAACUUUUAUAUUUCUUUGCAAUUUAUUUUCAAGCAAUUUAAUUCCAAGUCCUUUAAACUUUCAAGCAUUACUAUUUCAAGUCAUUUAUUUUUCAGCAAACUAUAGAUUUUGUUCAAUUUAUGUUAUGUCUUUUUAAAGUUUUCUCUAAAUUCAAGUCAAUGUACGUACGUAUCUUAUCAUUUUAUCUUCAUAGUUUAUAUGAUUGUCUUUAAUUUCUUCACAAUUUUAUUUUCGUCUCCGUUUGUUCUUUAAAAAUAUGUAAACUCUCACAAACUAUUAUUCGAGUCAAGAACUUUAUAAAAAUCCACACAGUCACACACACACGUAAGGUCUCAUAAGUUCCCAAUUAACUUGACUAAGAUCCAAUGAUCACACUCAUUAAACUUUCAUUUAUGGUCGAUUUGACAUGCUUGACCGUUAACCAAAACUAUCCUAAAGAAUGAUAUUAAUCUAUAUAUUUUUGAUAUAUAUAGUAAACAAAAUAAAUAAAUACAGGGUUAAACAUGUAUAAGAGUUAAUCAAGUAUAUAAUUUUAAAAUUUGAAAAUUUUCUUUAGAUAUAAUAACAUAAGUUAAGUCUCACUAUAGUUUAUCUGAUUCACCAAAAAGGAUGAACUUUUGUUGUCGAAUUAAUUAACCAAAGCUCAACUAGUCAUAAGUUAUUCUUAUUUUAGCUCAUUUGUUUCAGAAAAGAUAUAUAACUAUUGUCGACCAGUGAACUAACCACAAUUCAAUUGUUCAUUUGUGAAGUUUCAUUGCAAUUUAUUCGAUUCAAAAGAGAGACUGAACCCUUUUCGAUCAGUGAAGUUUAAAUACCUAAUUGACGUGGUUUGACUACCAUAAAAAAUUGUAAUCCUUUUUUAUUUUAUUUUUAUAAAAAUACAUUUUACAAUCUUAAUAAAAAAAAUAUUUAUUUUAUAUUCAAUCCAUAAAAAAAGCAUUCACUUUUAUAUAACCCAAAGUUUAAGUAUUUUGAAAAAAUAAUUUGUCAAAUUAAUAAUUAUUUUGAAUGAAUUUUCAAAAUAUUCAUUUUUUCUAAUGUUUAAUAUUAUCCAAGCAAAGCAAGGCACACAUUUUUUGUAUAAAAUCGAAAGUACACUGUAUUAUGUAAAAAUUAGAAUGUUUCAUAUAUAUAUAUAUAUAUAUAUAUAUACUUUGUAAACAAAAAAUAAAGAAUGUUUAAUUAAUACUUCUUUAAAAUGAAUACUAAAAAAUGAUUUCCCAAGUUAUACGUUUUCCCAAGGUUUAAUUAUAUACGUGGUUGGUUUCAAGUUAAGACAAAAUAUAUUGUGCAUUAUUCCCAGCUUCAUCACCUUUGUUAUUUGUCUGUUCCCUCCAAUGCCUGAAAGACUUGUUUAGCCCCCAAAUGACCAGCUUCUCAACACCAAGUCAAGUCUACAGUCUGCAGCAUGAAGCCAUAUUCACGAUAAGUCUGAUUGUUACAUAUUCUGAAUUUCCACCAACUCCACAAUUGAAGUGAAUGAGACUGUUUUGUCAUUGAGUUCAACCCCAGCAAAGGUUUCAAGAAAUUUCACGAACUAUUCAUUCGUCAUAUGUGCUUAUAAUUUGGGAUGGAAAAACUGUGAAAUUCUCUUGAUCUUGCAACAGAAUAAGGGUCUUUGGACUUCUAACGAGUUCUGCCUUGUUUAACAUUCCAAAUUCUCUUGACUUUUACUAAGUUUUCUAGUGCAACAAGGCCGAGAGACACUCAUAACUAAAUUUUCCUACACUCCAAAAUUAUAAGCACCUAUUUUAAUUAAGAUCAAAACAAUUGUCCGGAAGUAUAAGCGCCUUUUAAAUUGAUAAAUGUAUUCGAUUAUUAUUCUUGAAUAAGUGAUAUAUCUAGUUUAUAUCUAUAAUAUAGAUAAAGGACGUUGCUUAUUCAAUGAAUAAAAAAAAUGAAUUUUUUUAUUAUUAUAAUAAUGAUGAGAUGCAGUACAUCUAUGACAAUUGCUAAUAAAUGUUCUGAACCGGUCAACGACCUCAGCCCAAUUACUUAGGCUCAAUAACAAAUCAAGUUGCUGUAUUUGACAAUUUACUCGCAACAAAUCAAGAAAGAAGGAAGAGGUUUUUUGAAAAUUAAAUUUUAUGUAAGAAUAAUUUUGUCAUUUUAGAGUGUAACCAGGAUUAUAGUGUAAUUAGAAAAACUCAAGUAAUUAUUAUCCAAGGUACACAUUUUUUUUUAUGAAAUAGAAAGUACACUAUAUUAUGUAAAAUUAGACCUUUGAUAUAUAAUACUCUCUCCGGUCCUAUUUAUAAGAAAAAGUUAACUUUUUAGAUUCAUUGAGUAAUUAAUGUAUUUGGUAUAGAAUAUAGGCUAAAUACAUAAUUUAUACUUUGAAUCAAAAAAGUCAAAUAUUUCUUAUAAAUAAGAUCGAAGGAAAUACAUGUUUAAAAUGAAUGAUUCAAAAUCACAGUAUCGUGUAUUAUCCCCCAAUUAGACCUCUAUGCAUUCCCCAACUCGUACGUUUUCCUGAUCUUUAUUUUGUGGUUCCUUUCAAGUUAAGACAAAACAUAGUAUUGUGUAUUAUCCCCCACUUAUUUAUGUGGCCUCCAACGCCGCAAAGACUUUGGUUUAGCCCCUCAUUGACUGGCUUAUCAACACCAAGUCAUUAUAUCACAUCACAAUAUACUUCAUCAGUAAUAUAUUUUUAGGUCAUAAGUAAUGUAUUUUUUUUAAGGAAUUAGUGUAUAUGUUUUAUAAUAUAGAAUAAAUACAUUAUUUAUUAAAUAAAUUUAAUUUAAUUUUAAUAAUAAAUAUAAAAGGAAGCUAAAUGCGGAGUGAUGAAACAUUACUUAUUCAAUGAAAAUCACAACUCAAUAUAUUAAAGGUAGGGAUGUAAAUAGAUAUCCAUGAUGCGGAUAGUGUGAUAUUUGUGUGCGCUCUGUCAGAUAAAUAUGAAAUCCGUAUUCUAUCCAUAUUCAUGCGGAUAUCCGUUUAGCGGGUAAUCCACGGAUUUUGAGGUAUCCGCGGAUUUUUACAGAUAUCCAUGGAUAACAUUUAUAAAAAUAAAAUAAAAAAUUUGUUUAAUUUUUUUUUAGCUAAAAUUUAGAAACAAAGGUUCUUCACAUGCAUUUUCUUUUCUUUUUAGCAAAACAUAAUAUUCAUACAUUACAAUAACAACAAAGAUCAUUGACUCAACAAAAACAUAAAUAAUGUCCCUUACAUUUAAUAAAAAUAAAGUUAUUUGAUUUAACAAAAAUAUAAGUAAAACUCAUCAUAUUCAACAAAAACAAAGCUUUUGCUUCAACAAUCCCAACCACUUUCACUUUCUUUUAAAGGAGCGUAAUAAUUGAUAACACUCACAAUACCUAUCGUGUUUUCUUAGAAAGUUGAAUGAUAUUGAGGUUAUUUAUGUAAUUUAUUUGGUUUAAUAGCGGGUAUGGAUAUCUGCGGGUGUGGAUACCAUUAAAUCCGCAUUCGUAUCCAUUAAUUAGCGGGUAGUUAAAAAAUUCAUUUAUUUUAUCCAUGGAUAUCCAUUAAGGUAUCCGCUCUGUGUCCGUGGCAGAUUUUAUCCGCGGAUAUUACGGGUGCGGAUUUUUUUGCCAUCCAGGUGUAUGUUGUCAUUUAAUAUCUAAACUAUACUUACAGGACAAACGACACUUGGUAAUUGUGAGGAAAAAAUAACGCAUGCAGUAUAUAAUAUAAAUAUCCUCCUUGGUGCUUAGACACUCAUGCAUGCAUCCUAUUGAAAAUGGCCAAGUUAUACUCUUUUCACUCUUUGCUCUUUAUUCUCUCUGCCUCACUCUAUUAUUACCUCUUCACUUGCUUAGCUAUGAUUUCUAAAACCAUCACCACAGAUGAAUUUGCACUUCUUGCAUUCAAAUCCUCAAUUACCUUAGACCCUUAUGAUAUUCUUAGUAAUUGGUCAAUUUCCUCUUCUACUUCUUCUUUCUCUUCAUGCAAUUGGGUUGGUGUUACUUGUGAUGAACAUCAUGGAAGAGUGAAUGCAUUGGAUCUUAAUAACAUGGACCUUGAAGGUACAAUUUCUCCUCAAUUGGGAAAUCUUUCUUUCCUUGUUGUUCUUGAUUUACAAGGCAAUAGUUUCUAUGGUGAGUUACCACAUGAGUUACUUCAGUUGAAGAGAUUGAAAUGGUUGGAUUUGAGUGACAAUGAUU